GAUGAACGCUGGCGGCGUGCCUAAUACAUGCAAGUCGAGCGAACGGACGAGAAGCUUGCUUCUCUGAUGUUAGCGGCGGACGGGUGAGUAACACGUGGAUAACCUACCUAUAAGACUGGGAUAACUUCGGGAAACCGGAGCUAAUACCGGAUAAUAUUUUGAACCGCAUGGUUCAAAAGUGAAAGACGGUCUUGCUGUCACUUAUAGAUGGAUCCGCGCUGCAUUAGCCAGUUGGUAAGGUAACGGCUUACCAAGGCAACGAUGCAUAGCCGACCUGAGAGGGUGAUCGGCCACACUGGAACUGAGACACGGUCCAGACUCCUACGGGAGGCAGCAGUAGGGAAUCUUCCGCAAUGGGCGAAAGCCUGACGGAGCAACGCCGCGUGAGUGAUGAAGGUCUUCGGAUCGUAAAACUCUGUUAUUAGGGAAGAACAUAUGUGUAAGUAACUGUGCACAUCUUGACGGUACCUAAUCAGAAAGCCACGGCUAACUACGUGCCAGCAGCCGCGGUAAUACGUAGGUGGCAAGCGUUAUCCGGAAUUAUUGGGCGUAAAGCGCGCGUAGGCGGUUUUUUAAGUCUGAUGUGAAAGCCCACGGCUCAACCGUGGAGGGUCAUUGGAAACUGGAAAACUUGAGUGCAGAAGAGGAAAGUGGAAUUCCAUGUGUAGCGGUGAAAUGCGCAGAGAUAUGGAGGAACACCAGUGGCGAAGGCGACUUUCUGGUCUGUAACUGACGCUGAUGUGCGAAAGCGUGGGGAUCAAACAGGAUUAGAUACCCUGGUAGUCCACGCCGUAAACGAUGAGUGCUAAGUGUUAGGGGGUUUCCGCCCCUUAGUGCUGCAGCUAACGCAUUAAGCACUCCGCCUGGGGAGUACGACCGCAAGGUUGAAACUCAAAGGAAUUGACGGGGACCCGCACAAGCGGUGGAGCAUGUGGUUUAAUUCGAAGCAACGCGAAGAACCUUACCAAAUCUUGACAUCCUUUGACAACUCUAGAGAUAGAGCCUUCCCCUUCGGGGGACAAAGUGACAGGUGGUGCAUGGUUGUCGUCAGCUCGUGUCGUGAGAUGUUGGGUUAAGUCCCGCAACGAGCGCAACCCUUAAGCUUAGUUGCCAUCAUUAAGUUGGGCACUCUAAGUUGACUGCCGGUGACAAACCGGAGGAAGGUGGGGAUGACGUCAAAUCAUCAUGCCCCUUAUGAUUUGGGCUACACACGUGCUACAAUGGACAAUACAAAGGGCAGCGAAACCGCGAGGUCAAGCAAAUCCCAUAAAGUUGUUCUCAGUUCGGAUUGUAGUCUGCAACUCGACUACAUGAAGCUGGAAUCGCUAGUAAUCGUAGAUCAGCAUGCUACGGUGAAUACGUUCCCGGGUCU
RNAcentral lists this ribosomal RNA (1372 nucleotides) under uncultured bacterium. RNAcentral's name for it is "bacterial SSU rRNA". It matches the Rfam family "Bacterial small subunit ribosomal RNA", at positions 28 to 1381 of the family's 1533-position model. The record is from RNAcentral.